This 286-nucleotide ribosomal RNA is filed under the name Providencia huaxiensis. RNAcentral describes it as "partial 16S ribosomal RNA". It matches the Rfam family "Bacterial small subunit ribosomal RNA", at positions 197 to 471 of the family's 1533-position model. Lineage: Bacteria; Pseudomonadati; Pseudomonadota; Gammaproteobacteria; Enterobacterales; Morganellaceae. The record is from RNAcentral.
AGGAGCAAAGCAGGGGAACUUCGGUCCUUGCGCUAUCGGAUGAACCCAUAUGGGAUUAGCUAGUUGGUGAGGUAAUGGCUCACCAAGGCGACGAUCUCUAGCUGGUCUGAGAGGAUGAUCAGCCACACUGGGACUGAGACACGGCCCAGACUCCUACGGGAGGCAGCAGUGGGGAAUAUUGCACAAUGGGCGCAAGCCUGAUGCAGCCAUGCCGCGUGUAUGAAGAAGGCCCUAGGGUUGUAAAGUACUUUCAGUCGGGAGGAAGGCGUUGAUGCUAAUAUCAUCA